GUUGCCAUCAUUCAGUUGGGCACUCUAAGGGGACUGCCGGUGAUAAGCCGAGAGGAAGUGGGGAUGACGUCAAGUCCUCGAUGGCCCUUACGGGCUGGGCUACACACGUGCUACAAUGGUGGUGACAGUGGGCAGCGAGACCGCGAGGUCGAGCUAAUCUCCAAAAGCCAUCUCAGUUCGGAUUGCACUCUGCAACUCGAGUGCAUGAAGUUGGAAUCGCUAGUAAUCGCGGAUCAGCAUGCCGCGGUGAAUACGUUCCCGGGCCUU
Molecule: ribosomal RNA, 267 nt
Filed under: uncultured Mesorhizobium sp.
Lineage: Bacteria; Pseudomonadati; Pseudomonadota; Alphaproteobacteria; Hyphomicrobiales; Phyllobacteriaceae
Description: partial 16S ribosomal RNA
Rfam family: Bacterial small subunit ribosomal RNA
Source: RNAcentral